AAGGGCCUCAGUGGACCGAAAAAAUACGAAAAACUGAAACUCACUAGCGGCAGGGCUCUCUAGUGCGGCAGCUCCUUCGGCUCACGUUGUGGUUAGGUGUUUCGCUUCAAUCAACCUGUAGAAAAGAAAACGGUGAUCACAACGUUGAAAAAAUUACACGAAACAGGAAUCGGAAAGAGCCUCAUCGGAGGUGGUUUGUGAAAUUCCCUGCGGCGGCACCGCCGAGCUUCGUCGGUAUUUUUCGGCCAAUUUGCUGGUUCUUUCACUUUGAUUUGGUCAUGGGUGGAUUUAAAAUUGAAUUUCGUACAAAAAGAGAAAUUUUUAUCUUUUUUGGCGGUCGGAAAGGGUUCCGGUGCGGCGGUGGAUGGCGGCGGUCGGCUCCCCGGUGGCUGGAUUGUCUUUGUCCGGCGAGGGGUUCUGGCGGUUAGAGUUUGGGUUUGGGUGCGGAUGAGAUUAUUUAUACACAUCUGUUUCUUAUCUGGGUCAUCAAUUGUUUUUUAUCUGGACCGUUCGAUCGUGAUUAAAUAGGGAGUGAAUUUGUGUCGUUCAUCGCGAUCCAAUCUGCGUCGUCCGUGCGCAAUUCACUCUGGGCCGUCCGUGCACAUGAGAACGGACAUCAGCUGUUCGAUCGCGCGCACGCGGAUCGCCCACGUAGCUCCCCCCGCGUGGCCUCUCGCAUCAGUGUCUCUGCCACUUGGCGCAUCCUGGUUGGUCGGGGCUGCU
RNAcentral lists this long non-coding RNA (723 nucleotides) under Carica papaya (papaya). Its description in RNAcentral is "long non-coding RNA (CPAP_LNC007513)". The record is from RNAcentral. Lineage: Eukaryota; Viridiplantae; Streptophyta; Magnoliopsida; Brassicales; Caricaceae.